GUAAUGUGUGCUAUUUUAUUUUUACUUCAAUCCCUAACAUUUCUUGAUCAUUUGUUUUUAAGGCCAUGAACAGACAGUUGCAAACAGGACUGAACUGUACACCAGGAAGAGUGGAGCCUGAGGAAUACAGAGGGCAAUGUCUCUCACUCUGUGCUUUUAAACCAGUGAAGAAUGCUCAUUGAUUCUGCCAUGGUGGAGGACAAACUGCCCCAACAGGCAGACGUGCAAGGCCAUUACCACAUGAAACAAGAGUCUGAACAGCACAAGUCAUACAAAGGCUGAUUAAAGGAGAGGUGGGCAUUUGCUUCUCAUAUAAUAGAACAGCCUCUAUUUUCUCCAUUUGCUCCUGCCACAUAAAUAACAUUCAUUGGUGUACUCAGCACAAUGUUAACAAGAGGACUUCUUUUGUGAGGACAUUCAUGUACUCUGAUAGUGAAACAGAAGGGCUUGUUCGUGUAGAAUUUUAUCUAGU
This 472-nucleotide long non-coding RNA is filed under the name Bos indicus x Bos taurus (hybrid cattle). RNAcentral's name for it is "lncRNA (ENSBIXG00000014622.1)". The record is from RNAcentral. Lineage: Eukaryota; Metazoa; Chordata; Mammalia; Artiodactyla; Bovidae.